This 468-nucleotide ribosomal RNA is filed under the name uncultured Glomus. Its description in RNAcentral is "SSU rRNA". It matches the Rfam family "Eukaryotic small subunit ribosomal RNA", at positions 583 to 1056 of the family's 1831-position model. The record is from RNAcentral. Lineage: Eukaryota; Fungi; Glomeromycota; Glomeromycetes; Glomerales; Glomeraceae.
UUCCAGUCCAAUAGCGUAUAUUAAAGUUGUUGCAGUUAAAAAGCUCGUAGUUGAAUUUCGGGGUUAGUAGGCUGGUCAUGCCUCCGGUAUGUACUGGUCUCACUGAUUCCUCCUUCCUGANGAACCGUAAUGCCAUUAAUUUGGUGUUGCGGGGAAUCUGGACUGUUACUUUGAAAAAAUUAGAGUGUUUAAAGCAGGCUAACGCUUGAAUACAUUAGCAUGGAAUAAUGAAAUAGGACGUUCGAUCCUAUUUUGUUGGUUUCUAGGAUUGACGUAAUGAUUAAUAGGGAUAGUUGGGGGCAUUAGUAUUCAAUUGUCAGAGGUGAAAUUCUUGGAUUUAUUGAAGACUAACUACUGCGAAAGCAUUUGCCAAGGAUGUUUUCAUUAAUCAAGAACGAAAGUUAGGGGAUCGAAGACGAUCAGAUACCGUCGUAGUCUUAACCAUAAACUAUGCCGACUAGGGAUCGG